AUGAAUAUUGCGGGAGAGACUAAACUUACCGUUUAGCACCGAAGGAGCAAAUUCUGACCCUCAGGACAAAUCUCUCUGGUAAAAGGACAGAGGAAAAUAG
This 100-nucleotide non-coding RNA is filed under the name Brevibacillus parabrevis. RNAcentral's name for it is "Glycine sequence". It matches the Rfam family "Glycine riboswitch aptamer". Rfam says of the family: This family represents the bacterial glycine riboswitch. Glycine riboswitches usually consist of two metabolite-binding aptamers domains with similar structures in tandem. The record is from RNAcentral. Lineage: Bacteria; Bacillati; Bacillota; Bacilli; Caryophanales; Paenibacillaceae.